Molecule: non-coding RNA, 99 nt
Organism: Taxawa tesnikishii (nom. ined.)
Lineage: Eukaryota; Fungi; Ascomycota; Dothideomycetes; Dothideales
Source: the annotation of a GenBank genome assembly
GCUUCAGUGGUUUAAUGGUAAAAUUCAUCGUUGCCAUCAUUUCCCUAACCUGGAGAGUACAAGCUCGAUGAGCCCCGUGUUCGAUUCACGGCUGAUGCA